GGGCUCCGAAGCUUGUGACCGGAACAUUUUAUUGAAAGAAGCCUCCGUUCUUUGUCAAAUUGCCACAAUUCGUCCGGAAGACUCCUAGAAAUCAUUUGGGGAAUUAAAACUCGACCGAUUUUAUUUUCAAAGUACACGAAAAAGGUAAAAUUCAGUUUCGUGUUAGGUUAUUGUUAGGCAAGACAGCCGUAAGUGCUAUCUUCUGCAUGCUUUCGUGGUUGCGUUUUGAACGCACAUCAAACACAUUUCCAGGUUAGAAAGUGGCAGAAGAGGGCGGCACUUUACUGGAAAGCACUGUUUUCAUUGGCCCUACGGCUGUCUUGAAAAAAAACUGUGUCAUUUUUUGUGCACUUACGGCUUUUACAUACGUCUCGUUUUCACUAAAUUAGGAUGAAUUUUGCUGUUUUAGCUGUCUCAGUAAUUUCAUCUAAAAGAGUUUAGACGAAUUUUGAAGAAAACUCGAUUUCGAAAAUUUUGCACUUACGGCUCUCUUCGCUAUCACGGCAGAAAUGCCAAGUUUGUUUUCAAUGACUAUUUCAACGUAUGUUGAUUAUUUUUCGUCCAUUUCCUUCCCAGAGAGGUGCCGUUACACAUGCGCGUGUACAUGUACGAACUGAUCGGGAUCGGUCUGGUCGGCGGUUGCUGCUCGACGUACAGUGCGCUCAUCGACAUGGUCGGACCAGACUCCUUCACCAAGCCUUGCUAUUGGCCGAACUGAUCCAACUUCAGUAUUAACUGCACCGUCGAGCUUUCUUCCUUACUGUAAGUCGCACAUUCUGCUUCAGCCCAAUCAGAUCUCCUUCUGUUUUUAACCUGUUGUUACCUGUUGCCAAACCUGCUUUCAGUAAAAUAGUUUAUCUCCACCUCGGUCUCAUGAUCAAGCAACAUAACUUAUUUGGACUUUUUUUGGAAUGUCCCGUGAGAGGAUACCAGCACUUUUUUCUUCUUAAUUUUAAAUUGGAUGUAAACACGCCUAAAUCCGAUUUUAAUUCUGAAGUUUGCAGAUCUAGAAAUUUUGAAAGUCCAAAAAAGUUCAGGAAUUUUUAUACACAGGCAGUCAGGCCAUUUAACUUUGGAACAUCCUUUAUAUUGUCGGUGAAAACGUUAUUCUUACUAUGAUUUUCUUGGGUAUUAUAUUGUUAUACAUACAAUACAAUAUAUGUUGUUCAUUCUAUGAUCUUGUGAGACCGAUGUGGGUUGAAUUUGUGGCACUAGGCCUUCGGCUGAAGCAGUAUUUACGUAAUGAAAUAAAGACUGUCGAGUUUAUUUUCAGAUCCGUUCCAGGUUCUGGAUGUUUUCGCAUCAUUUGUGCCCUACUUUCUGUGUAGUUUAUCCUGGAUGACCUACCUGGAAUUUACUUAUCUUACCAGAAUAGAAAAUAACAGGAUAAGUACCAUGUUUACAGGGAAAAAGUUUAAGAAUUUGAGAAUUUUCCAAUUAGCAAACACAUCAUAUUAAUCCUUCUGAUAUUUUUGCUGGAGGGGGGGGGGGAACCUUUUUGAGAUAUCAUGCGCCUCUCUCUGAUGUUUAAUUUUUUAUAAGAAAAUUGAAAAACACCUAAACUUGAAAUCCUGUGAGUGUAUUCGCCACAAUCUGAGGUAAACUUACUGAAAGUUUAAGUGUUUAAAGUAGUUCAGUGCUCUGUUCAAAAAAUUUAACUUGAGAAAAAUCAGGCGAAGUGAAAGGUGGUCAGGCUUAUUCUGCUUACAGGGUUGCCAGCGACCGGGAAAACCGGGAAAAGUCAGGGAAAAAAAAAUCAACCGGGAAAAGUCAGGGAAAGUCAGGGAAUUUCGGUUUUGGUCAGGGAUUUUUCUGAUUUUCGUGGAAUUAGGCGCGGGCGGUUCUAAAAAUUUAAAUAGUCGAAAAUAGCUGUCAUUUUCACUUUAACAGACUGCGUCAGAUCCAUACUUGAAAGUCAGGGAAAAAUAUUGGAAAGUCAGGGAAAAGUCAGGGAAUGGAAAAAAAUAUUUUGGCUGGCAACCCUGUGCUUAAAUCCGUCUGAAUUAUGACUAGUAAACACAAUAAGUAGGUAAGAUACACAUAAUAAAAGUUCACAAUGCUCUUGUGCUAAGGAACAAUGCUGUACGAAAAUUCGAGAGUUGCCGAAUGUCCUUUGAUAAAAUGUUUAUUUUUGAGGAAAAUUAUGAAUAUUUUUCCUCGACAUUUUCAUGAACUUUAGAUCAAAAUACAAACAAAAUUCUCUUAAAAAUUAGAAGAAGUUUACCGAGGAAUUGGCGUUCCAUCAAAGAAAAUUUGGCGACACCUGAAGGUUCGUACGCUGUUUUUCCUCAGCACGGCAGAAUGGUAGUUUUUUAUCCUUGUCAGCGAGGCGAUUAUUGAAACUGAUGGACAAGGCGAUAGAGAAAGAAGGCAUAGAGAGUAUGGAGCGAUCUUAUUGGUUGACAUGGUUGGUUCUUAUAGACUAAGGAAGAAAAUGAUGGACUAACUGUCGGGGCUUUAGUGGGUUGCCGUUAGUUAGUCCAUUACCUAAGUCCUCUGUCUAUUGCCACCACCUGCUUCCACCAAUAGGAUCCCUCCAAAUCCCUUUUGUCGUCUUUGUCUAUAGCUUUGUCUAUCAGUUUCAAUAAUCGCCCCGCAGCCCUCUAAAUAGUUUUAAAUAAACUUCCUUAAGAAGAAUCUGUGCGUCUGCUCUGUUUCGGAGCUCAUUAACUUUUUUUUUUUUAUUUUGUUAAUUUUUAUUUAUCUAUUUAUUUAUUUAUUUAUUUUAAUUUGCGUACAUGAGAGCCCCAUUGUUGGAGCUAUGGCACAAGUCAAACAACACUAGGAAUGAUACUACACUACAAUAAAUAAAAUAUAAAUUACAAAUUGUACAAGAAUCUUAUUCAACAGCUGGAUUAAGAAAUUCGUUCAAAUUAUAAAAUGCCUGCUUUUGUGCUUUUGUGCAAAAUUACGCACAUUUAUGUUUAUUAUUAGCUAAUCUAAUUUUUAAUAAUUAAUUUUAGUAGGUUAAAUGUAUAAGUGGUCUUUUUAUCCACAUAUCUUGAACUUGUUAUGCAGUUACGAAUUUUUAUCAAAUCUUUUGUAUAAUCCUCAGACACAACAAAACGUUGACGCUAUUUUUCACUUUUUAUUAGUUAGCAAAGAGUUCACUAAAAUUUGUCUAUCAUAAGAAUAAGCUGGGUCUCACUGAGAACAUUGAGGCUAGUCAAAUUGGACUGCAUUUUGCAAUUUGGACCUAUAAAUUCUACCUCAUCUGAAAAAACACUUAUGUGCAUAGGAAAACCAAUGGCACAUACGCUGUUUUUAAACCGGGCCGGAAUUCAUAGGUCCAAAUUGCAAAAUGCAGUCCAAUUGGUCAGACAUGUCUAAACUAAAAAGAACUUAGUGCAAAUUAUGAAAAGGGACUAUAAACGUAGUAUUGGCACGUCUCUUGGUUCCUGUCAGUUCAAUUUUUUCUUACUUAUGUAGUUCCUUUUUGUGUAAUUACGCCCAUCCUGUCUUUUCAGUGAAGAAGCAUCUUGUGUUUCUCGAUUUUACCUUCACAUGGCUUGAAAGUGAAAGAAACUGAAAUGAAAGUUUUAGGAACGAACAUAAUUUCAGUCUCUACGAAAAGUCACCAAGCGUAACUAAUAUGACUUCAUUUUGCCAUGAGGAACUACAAUUUCUGGCCCAUACCUUAAACACCUAUCUGCGCAAGGAAGCUAACAGCACAUAUCGUCACCUUCCCGGCAAAGUAUCACAAGCGCCAUGCGACGUUUAAAAAUUUCGGUCGCCAUUUUAUUUUUUACAAAGAAAUUGUUGGUUGAAUCUGGUUGAAAAUUUCACUGAAUUUUAUCGUCAGCACGAAGAUAAUUCAGUGAAAUUUUUGGACAGCUUCGUUGAACAAUUUCUCUGUUAGAAAAUAAAAUGGCGGCAGAAAUUUUUAAACGUCGCAUGGCGCUUGUGAUACUUUGCCGGGAAGGUGACGAUAGGUUGUUUCUGAAAUGAGCCAGGAAUUGUAGUUUUUGAUUGCAACAUGUAGUUCCGUUUUGAUUCUGUCCCUCGUUUUUCUUGAUUCUUUUGAAUCUGUAUUUUAAAAAUCCUUUUUAAAUCGUUUACACAAACGGUAGGUAAUGAUUCCAAUUUUUUCCACGGAAAUAAAAAUUUUCAAGGAAAUUGAAAUAGCAUGUUCUGGGAAAAAUCAAUUCAAACACUCGGCAUUAGUAUAGAGUGUGGAAACAAUUUGACUACCUUUGCAAUGGACCACUAGACAAGGUACGAAUUUAAGCAUUCUUAUGAAUGUUUCCUAGUUAGAAUUUCACGUAGAGCACGAUUCGCGCAACGAAAACUAAUGAAACCAACUCCUAACGAAGAUAUUAACGUUUUUAUUUCACAUUCGUUACGAGGAAUUUGAACUGCCCGCUCACAGAAACUCAAAGCUCCACGUGAGUCAAAUCGCGCACUACAACGGUUUCGGCAAUCUUCUCAAUCGAGCAAUGUUCAUUUCUCACCAUGUGUUGUUCAAACUAUUAGCAAUUUGCUAUAACUGAGCCAAAGCGUCAAAAUUGAGGUUGCCACAUUUUUAUAUUGCAGAUUCUGUGUUAUUAUAACGUUGAGCGCGCAUUGUGAGUCACGUAGAGCAUUGAGUUUUCAUGAGCGGGUGGUUUGAAUUCACGCACCAAGAAUCAUUAAAUAUCUCUGAAAGGAGUUGAUUCCGGUAAUUUUCGUUGUGCGCAUCGUGUUUUACGUGAAAUUUUGGUGAAGAAACAUAUAUCAGAAUGCUGAAAUUCGUACCUUGUCUAGUGGUCCAUUAGGAACUGCAAUUUCAGGCUUAGUUUUACCAACAACGUAUGUGCCAUUAGCUUCCCCAUCCAGAUAAGUGUUUAUACGGAUAAGUCAGAAAUAGUAGUUCCCAGGUGCAAAAUGCAAUUCAACUUUUUGCAGGAAGAAGGCUGUACAUUAAAAAGGCUGAUUAAUUUUAUACUUAGGCUUGUGAUAAUCUAAGUGAUAUCCUCAAAUUUCAUGAAUUUUCAUUUUAUUCAUUCAAUGUCAAGAAAAAAACUAUGCGGAACAUUGGUUCAGAAUUUUGUAUUUUCUUAACAACGUAUUUUUUUGUUUUUUAAUCGUUUUUAUGUUACCUUUUUAUCCAUGUUUUUGUACAAUAAAGCGUUUAAUUUUUCCACCUGUUUUUCUAAAUUUUUCCCAAGGAG
RNAcentral lists this long non-coding RNA (5150 nucleotides) under Bemisia tabaci. Its description in RNAcentral is "lncRNA ENSSSA2NGG007450". The record is from RNAcentral. Lineage: Eukaryota; Metazoa; Arthropoda; Insecta; Hemiptera; Aleyrodidae.